RNAcentral lists this ribosomal RNA (429 nucleotides) under Chloroflexota bacterium. RNAcentral's name for it is "Chloroflexi bacterium partial 16S ribosomal RNA". It matches the Rfam family "Bacterial small subunit ribosomal RNA", at positions 355 to 776 of the family's 1533-position model. The record is from RNAcentral. Lineage: Bacteria; Bacillati; Chloroflexota.
UGGGGAAUAUUGCACAAUGGGCGCAAGCCUGAUGCAGCCAUGCCGCGUGUGUGAAGAAGGCCUUCGGGUUGUAAAGCACUUUCAGCGGGGAGGAAGGCGUUAAGGUUAAUAACCUUGGCGAUUGACGUUACCCGCAGAAGAAGCACCGGCUAACUCCGUGCCAGCAGCCGCGGUAAUACGGAGGGUGCAAGCGUUAAUCGGAAUUACUGGGCGUAAAGCGCACGCAGGCGGUCUGUCAAGUCGGAUGUGAAAUCCCCGGGCUCAACCUGGGAACUGCAUUCGAAACUGGCAGGCUAGAGUAUUGUAGAGGGGGGUAGAAGUCCAGGUGUAGCGGUGAAAUGCGUAGAGAUCUGGAGGAAUACCGGUGGCGAAGGCGGCCCCCUGGACAAAGACUGACGCUCAGGUGCGAAAGCGUGGGGAGCAAACAGG